UGGGGAAUUUUGGACAAUGGGCGAAAGCCUGAUCCAGCCAUUCCGCGUGCAGGACGAAGGCCUUCGGGUUGUAAACUGCUUUUGUACGGAACGAAAAAGUUUCAGCUAAUACCUGGAAUCCAUGACGGUACCGUAAGAAUAAGCACCGGCUAACUACGUGCCAGCAGCCGCGGUAAUACGUAGGGUGCAAGCGUUAAUCGGAAUUACUGGGCGUAAAGCGUGCGCAGGCGGUCUUGUAAGACAGAUGUGAAAUCCCCGGGCUCAACCUGGGAACUGCAUUUGUGACUGCAAGGCUGGAGUGCGGCAGAGGGGGAUGGAAUUCCGCGUGUAGCAGUGAAAUGCGUAGAUAUGCGGAGGAACACCGAUGGCGAAGGCAAUCCCCUGGGCCUGCACUGACGCUCAUGCACGAAAGCGUGGGGAGCAAACAGG
Molecule: ribosomal RNA, 429 nt
Filed under: uncultured bacterium
Lineage: Bacteria
Description: bacterial SSU rRNA
Rfam family: Bacterial small subunit ribosomal RNA
Source: RNAcentral